GAUGAACGCUGGCGGCGUGCCUAAUACAUGCAAGUCGAGCGAACAGACGAGGAGCUUGCUCCUCUGACGUUAGCGGCGGACGGGUGAGUAACACGUGGAUAACCUACCUAUAAGACUGGGAUAACUUCGGGAAACCGGAGCUAAUACCGGAUAAUAUAUUGAACCGCAUGGUUCAAUAGUGAAAGACGGUUUUGCUGUCACUUAUAGAUGGAUCCGCGCCGCAUUAGCUAGUUGGUAAGGUAACGGCUUACCAAGGCAACGAUGCGUAGCCGACCUGAGAGGGAGAUCGGCCACACUGGGACUGAGACACGGUCCAGACUCCUACGGGAGGCAGCAGUAGGGAAUCUUCCGCAAUGGGCGAAAGCCUGACGGAGCAACGCCGCGUGAGUGAUGAAGGUCUUCGGAUCGUAAAACUCUGUUAUUAGGGAAGAACAAAUGUGUAAGUAACUAUGCACGUCUUGACGGUACCUAAUCAGAAAGCCACGGCUAACUACGUG
RNAcentral lists this ribosomal RNA (497 nucleotides) under uncultured bacterium. RNAcentral describes it as "partial 16S ribosomal RNA". It matches the Rfam family "Bacterial small subunit ribosomal RNA", at positions 28 to 507 of the family's 1533-position model. The record is from RNAcentral.